Amphiprion ocellaris (clown anemonefish) is the source of this 1592-nucleotide long non-coding RNA. RefSeq lists it as uncharacterized. NCBI's taxonomy places the organism in Eukaryota, Metazoa, Chordata, Actinopteri, Pomacentridae. The record is from RefSeq and is a predicted model, not a curated record. The transcript has 2 exons.
CCAGGCAGCUAAAAGUAAAAUAAAACAAGAGUACAUAUAAAAUAAACAGGACAUAAUACAGAGUAAAACACUAAGCUAAUUGAAGCUAAAACUAUACUUCACAUAAAAGCAAGUCUAUAAAAGUGAGUGAUUUAAAAGAAGUUACUGACUCUGCAAGCUUUAUCUCCUCAGGCAGGUUGUUCCAAAGUUAUUAGAUUCUCCAUAUGAAAUGUGACUGAUUUGUGAAAUACACUAAAUUAUUGUAGUUUUAACAGCACAGUCACUAGAAUCCAGACAUCAUUAGCAAAGGACAUUUUUCCGGAUAAUGAUGCUUGAAGUGCAGUUUGCUAAUAAAGCUCAUUUGGAAUGUUAAUUAUAUUGUGUCAUUAUUUUCAAUGCAGUAAAUGAUCUGAAUGCUUUUAUGAAUAAUUUAGCACGAGCGACACGAUGGACAGGGACAGUGUGAUAGAAUUUUACAUGGCAUUGCAAGGAACCAUCAUUACUGAGAGACAUUUAAACAGGAUAUUGAGAGUAGGGUUGCCUCCCGUCCCUUAAAAUACGGAAACGUCCUUUAUUUGACAAUUAAUCGUUGCGUCCCGUAUUGAAUCAAUACGGGACGCAAGUUGUUCCGUAUUUUCAUAACUGCCCCAUACACGUCUGUCACACACUCAUCAAAACUGCAUAAUGAAUAAAAUAAAACACAGGCAAUAUUAAGGGCAGCCAAUUUCAUCUUCGUAGGACCCAUGUAGCGAGGACCCGAUGCCAGGUCCAGUGGACAGACUUCAGACGUCUCUGUGUGUCCGGUCCUGUCCGGUCCUGUCUCUGGUUGCCAGGUUACAGACGCUGCUGCACCCGCACGUUUAAAAAUGUCUACACCUGAAACUCCACCACGUCUAAAGAAGCAAAAACGUUUGCAAAUGUACAGACUGGAGUGGGAAGAGUGGAACCCCUGGCAAUGGGUACAAGACAAACUGUGUUUUCUGUUGCUCAUGGACUGGCUGAAGUAAGGCAGCAUCAGGAGACAAACAUGGAGGAAAUAUGAGAACAGAGAGAACCCAACCAGCAGGUCACAGUUUAUCAUCAUCUAAUCAUCUCCUGAAGUCGAAAUGGUCCCUCUCUAUCUCCCCACACAUCCACCAACCACUGGAACACAUCUCCAAAGUUCUGCCAGGCCAGCUCAGCUUCCCCUCAGAAGAAGUGCUGCCACCUGCCAGAUGAAGGAGCCUUUUGAGAGGCAGCAGACAUCGUGAUUGGACUGUACUUUGGUCUGUUCCAAUCCAGCUUCAGCUCCAGAGACGGCAGGCGGGACGAGUCAACGGAGGCCGGGUGGACGAAGGCAUGCAGCUGAGUACAAUACAGAAAACAACAGAGGAGGAGUGCAGUGGCUCAGGGCCAGAACAAACACAGUAGCAUCGUAUGUCUCUUAGAAAACAUCAUAGUAUAGCCUUUGGUAUGAAAAAACGCCAUCAUAUACAUCGUAUAUUGUACAAAUAACAAGUCAAAGGAAAGAGACAUACAUUGUAGAAUUGUAGUAAUUGUGGGCCGAAUGAUUUACUGAUUAUCAGUAUUUGAUUUUUUACUGAUUUACGGGAAUAAAUAAAUUUUAAAAUGGC